CAGAAGGGAAUGAAGUGGGGUCAAAUAUAUGUAAUGGCAUGGAAACAUGCUAUGAGAUCAAGCCAAAAGAAAAGAAAAAGUAGAAUGCAAAAUUUUACAUUUGCAUUAAGGAAAAAACACGUUAGAAGAAAAUGCACUUAAAUAAAUUGCUCUGUGUGAUA
Homo sapiens (human) is the source of this 161-nucleotide long non-coding RNA. The record is from Ensembl. Lineage: Eukaryota; Metazoa; Chordata; Mammalia; Primates; Hominidae.